Molecule: ribosomal RNA, 55 nt
Filed under: Entoloma ravinense
Lineage: Eukaryota; Fungi; Basidiomycota; Agaricomycetes; Agaricales; Entolomataceae
Description: partial 18S ribosomal RNA
Source: RNAcentral
CCUGCGGAAGGAUCAUUAUUGAAUAAACUUGGUUGGGUUGUUGCUGGCUCUUAGG